GUCAGAGUAUCAAUAAGGUAAAUGAAUCUUACACUGAAGUUAUAUACAUCUAUAAAUGCCAAUAUAAUUUAGAUAUGAAAUGACUGCUGACAUAUCAGAUGCAUCUGAUAGUAUUCCUGACAGAGUAACAUCAGGACAGUUGAAACAACACAAACGUUACUCCCCAAGAUAUCCACAAGUAAAAAGGCGAGAGACAGUCAAAGGAUCAUUGCACCAUGGAAUGUUGGUAGUGGGUCCCCCUUCAGGAGAUGCAAAGAGUCAGCCUACAGUGGCCAAUUCUGAGAUGGGCCAGCACUACCUCCUCUUUCCGAUUUCUCCGAAGAGAGGAAGGCCAGUCUGCGAGUA
RNAcentral lists this long non-coding RNA (345 nucleotides) under Androctonus crassicauda. Lineage: Eukaryota; Metazoa; Arthropoda; Arachnida; Scorpiones; Buthidae. The record is from RNAcentral.